This 495-nucleotide ribosomal RNA is filed under the name uncultured bacterium. RNAcentral describes it as "partial 16S ribosomal RNA". It matches the Rfam family "Bacterial small subunit ribosomal RNA", at positions 28 to 505 of the family's 1533-position model. The record is from RNAcentral.
GAUGAACGCUGGCGGCGUGCCUAAUACAUGCAAGUCGAGCGAACAGACGAGGAGCUUGCUCCUCUGACGUUAGCGGCGGACGGGUGAGUAACACGUGGAUAACCUACCUAUAAGACUGGGAUAACUUCGGGAAACCGGAGCUAAUACCGGAUAAUAUAUUGAACCGCAUGGUUCAAUAGUGAAAGACGGUUUUGCAGUCACUUAUAGAUGGAUCCGCGCCGCAUUAGCUAGUUGGUAAGGUAACGGCUUACCAAGGCAACGAUGCGUAGCCGACCUGAGAGGGUUGUCGGCCACCACGGAACGGGAACACGGUCCCACCCCCUAAGGGAGGACACCAGAGGGAACCCUCCCGCAUGGGCCAAAGCCUAAAGGGGCCACCCCGCGGGGGGUAGUAAGGUUUUCGGGUCCGAAAACUCUUUUUUUAGGGAAAAACAAAUUUUUAAGUAACCUUGCCACUUUUGCCGGUACCUAAACAGAAAGCCCCGGCUAACCACC